Long non-coding RNA from Drosophila mojavensis, 876 nucleotides. RefSeq lists it as uncharacterized. NCBI's taxonomy places the organism in Eukaryota, Metazoa, Arthropoda, Insecta, Diptera, Drosophilidae. The transcript is spliced from 2 exons. The record is from RefSeq and is a predicted model, not a curated record.
AACAUUUCUGACAGCAAGGACGUGCAAAAAUGAAUCGAAAAUUUCUUAAAGAAUUUAUUGAUGGCGUAGAACAUAAGCCGGAUUUGUGGCAAAAUAAAAGCGAACAUUACAAAAAUAUUCAUUUGCGCAAUAAAGCGUGGGAUAAGUUGCUAUUAAAAUAGAGGUAGAUGAAUAUGCUAUAAUGAACGUCGUCAAAAAAAAAUAAAUAAAUAAAAUAAAAUAAAAUACCUUAACUCUCAACGAGCAUCAUACAGGCGCGAAAAUUCAAAAAUUAAAAGAAGCGAGAAGUCAGGUGCUGGUGCAGAUGAUAUCUACGAGCCCAACAUAUGGUAUUUCGAAAAUUUAAGCUUUCUGCAUGAUUAAGAAUUGCCAGCCGAUGGACUUCGCACAUUUGACGAUACUUCAUGUGUUGAAAAUGAAAAUAUCAGGCCAAAAAACGGAAAAAUUACGAAAGUAGCGAGUUCCUGCAAAUAGCAUUGGAACAUUUGGACAACAAUGCCAAUAAAAAGCCGAAGGAUGACGCAGAGAUCUUCAGUCUGUCUUGUCUGAGGACCAACAAAUACUUGCUAAGAAAGGAAUGGAUACAAUUAUUUUGCAAGGCCGAUUGGGUAUGCUGACGUACGACCGCAUUAUGCAGCUCGAGCAACCUCCACGUGCUCCACUCUAAUGCAUCCAGUAGUCCAGCGCACAGGUUGAAAAGCCAGUACCAACUUCUAUUGUGAUAUAUUGGACGAGCACACCGCUUGCAUCCGAUUCAACAAGUUCAUCGGGUUUCUCAAUCUAUCCAGUUGAAGCAAAUCCAUCGGGAAAUUUGCAAUACCGCUCAUUUGCAUAACUUUUUAAUAACUCCGAUUUUAAAUAAAUUUUUAUAUGUUA